CAGUCGACGAGCUUCCGUUGAAUGACGUGCUUGCACUGAUUUCAACAAUGAAGCGAGUGGCGAACUGGUGAGUAACACGUGGGAAAUCUGCCCAGAAGCAGGGGAUAACACUUGGAAACAGGUGCUAAUACCGUAUAACAACAAAAUCCGCAUGGAUUUUGUUUGAAAGGUGGCUUCGGCUAUCACUUCUGGAUGAUCCCGCGGCGUAUUAGUUAGUUGGUGAGGUAAAGGCCCACCAAGACGAUGAUACGUAGCCGACCUGAGAGGGUAAUCGGCCACAUUGGGACUGAGACACGGCCCAAACUCCUACGGGAGGCAGCAGUAGGGAAUCUUCCACAAUGGACGAAAGUCUGAUGGAGCAAUGCCGCGUGAGUGAAGAAGGGUUUCGGCUCGUAAAACUCUGUUGUUAAAGAAGAACACCUUUGAGAGUAACUGUUCAAGGGUUGACGGUAUUUAACCAGAAAGCCACGGCUAACUACGUGCCAGCAGCCGCGGUAAUACGUAGGUGGCAAGCGUUGUCCGGAUUUAUUGGGCGUAAAGCGAGCGCAGGCGGUUUUUUAAGUCUGAUGUGAAAGCCUUCGGCUUAACCGGAGAAGUGCAUCGGAAACUGGGAGACUUGAGUGCAGAAGAGGACAGUGGAACUCCAUGUGUAGCGGUGGAAUGCGUAGAUAUAUGGAAGAACACCAGUGGCGAAGGCGGCUGUCUAGUCUGUAACUGACGCUGAGGCUCGAAAGCAUGGGUAGCGAACAGGAUUAGAUACCCUGGUAGUCCAUGCCGUAAACGAUGAGUGCUAAGUGUUGGAGGGUUUCCGCCCUUCA
RNAcentral lists this ribosomal RNA (818 nucleotides) under Levilactobacillus brevis. RNAcentral's name for it is "bacterial SSU rRNA". It matches the Rfam family "Bacterial small subunit ribosomal RNA", at positions 36 to 842 of the family's 1533-position model. The record is from RNAcentral. Lineage: Bacteria; Bacillati; Bacillota; Bacilli; Lactobacillales; Lactobacillaceae.